CUGUCCAUGGGAGAAAGCUCCAGGAAAAAAAAUAGGACUUUAUUCUGCUUUUAUAUAGUUUUUCAUUAUUAUCACCUCCCCAACCCCAGAACGAAGUCCUGUCUUUUACCAUUCUUUUCCAGGAAGUGACCCUGAUUUCUCUUUCCACUGAUGCAUGUUCGGUGUCAGAAAAUAUGCCACAAGAAAAGCUUAUGAUCUGUGUGGGGAGGAAACAGAACAAUUACCUCCAGUUAGUGCACCCAAGGGAUCUCACUUCCACUGAAGCCAAAUGUUUCAUCCAUUCCAAAAGGGCAACACAACACACAGGGAACAGUGAGUACAAGAAAAUAAAGCAGAAAAGCAGGAGGCUGGAGCUCACAGACCACAAACAGAUGGUAGCAAAAAAGCAAACAAACGGACAAAAGGAAAACACAAUUGCAAACCCCAGAAAAUGAUAAGUCUGUCUAGUUAACCCCCUUUCUAUUGACCUACAGAUUUCUUGAGACAGACAGAUCUGAGACCACCUUUGUCACUGACACGCCACUAAUGGAACGGACAUUAAAAUGACCUUCAAGUGACAACUCGCCACAGGAUAACCGUGACAAAUGCAGCCAGAUAGUCAUCUCCACCUUGUCUGCAGACACGAGAUGACAUUCCAUAAUACACUUGUGUCAAAAGAAGGGAAAUGCUGGAUGGUCUUUUUAAUGGGUUUGUCUGUAGCAAAGAGACCCACCGGGGAUCUAAUUUACAGAGGGAGGACUUGACAGAAUGAGCUUAUGAGGCAGCUGCGCGUGCGUGUGCCUGUGUGCCUAUUGCAUGGGAAGGCUGCCUCAGGAACGUGCAUCCAAUUCUGCUUUUACAGGAAAAGUCACCCUAUUCUUGUAAAAUUACAGCAACUUCUCUAAAAAUUGGUCAUCUUGAACACUGCAAUGCAUGAGACCAGACCAAUGAAGGGAGAUUUGAGGAGGAUGACAGUUGUGUGAGGUGAGAAAAAGCAGAGGCCACAAGGCAGAAAUAUAGUAGGGCAACACAACUUUGAAAGGCCAGAGAAAUGUUUCCAUCACGUAAGAAACUAUCAAAACUCUAGCUGAAAUCUGCUAGGAUCUGCUACAAAGAACCCACCAGCACCAGAGCAAUCAACCCCAGGUCUUUGGAGUUAUUAGAAAGGCUCUUAGUUUUGUUUUCUUCCUGGACCUCCUCCUGGCUGGACCACUGCUGCUGGCUGAGCGGUCAGGCAGGUGGCUGGGUGAUGGAAGUUCAUCUCCUGUGACAUUUUCCCCAUUUACUUGCACUUGAGAUCAGGAUCCCUUUGAGACCACAACACUAGAAAAGGCAGGAGAUACCAAACUGUCCCAGAGCAUUACAAACAAACAUUUCAAACACAUUUAUUCCAACCAUAGACAUGUCACUGUUUUAUACCAACUAGGAGAGCACAGCCAUUCUCUAUCCUUUGAACUUCAGUGUUUCUCGGCUGUGGUAUUGCUUUCCCAAGUGGGCAUUUAACACAAACAGGAAUAACAGGAAAGAGGAGGUGCUGGGACAGCUAUGGAAAAGGGCUCAUAAAUAAAUAAAUCCCACUGGUAUCCAACUGCUCAGCACCAGCACUGCCAGUGGUCAACACUUCCAAAGAGAAUAAUAAUGAAUAAAUAAAUAAGGCCUUGCUAGAGCUGAAGUUUCCUACUUUUCACCACUCUACAGACUGUUCCAAGCCUUGUAUCAUCCAGAGAUUAUAUGGUCCCAAAUAUAAAUCCAAGCAGCAUUUCUUCUUUCAAAGCCCUUGGGCUCCAUUUGUUAACCUAGAACCUAAUUCACUGUGUGGCAGACUCCUGCUCCUGCCAGGUAACUUCCCAGAAAGAACAACAGAUGGACUGAGCCAUUGGAUUAUAUGCACACAAGUGAAAACACAUUUAACAACCGCAACCAGAUGCAAACUUAGUAAGCAAAUUAAUUUUAAAAAACCCAAACUGAAGAGAAAUCAUUCAUUACAUCCAAGGAAAGAUUAUUUCUCUACUCAAGCAUGUGUGUUGUGCCUCUCACAGGGAGUGGCCCAUUUUGGAGAGUGGGGGAAACAUCAGAGUAUUUAAACACAGGCAACUUAUCACAGUGCAAAAGUCUAUGUGAGACUUGCUCAGGAUGUCACCGCAGGACCGAAGGGCACGAGAAGAACAACAGUUGGCUGAAGUGACAGGAAUGACCAAGAUGGAAGAACACAACUCAUUUCAGAUACAGAAAUGUUUAAUGGCGUUAAAGUGCUACUUUAAUGGGGACCAUAUGCUAACAUUUAAACACAAUUCCACUGCACUGCUAAAUAUGGUUGUCUUUAUUUUUUUACUUUAUUUUACCUCUUUUUACCCAACCCUAUCUAAAACAAUAAAAUAAAAUCUAAAGGACUGAAAUUAACAACCCAUUCAAAUCAGCAAUAAGUUAUGAAUUUUAUAAAGCAUUUUUUUCCUCUUUUUUUUCUUAGUAAUGAGGGGUAAUUAAAUUACUUAAGGAUAUACAAAGUUCCAAACAAUGCCAUAGGUGAAGACUCUAUUAAGGUUUUUAAAACUUGGAAAACAAAAUAAUCCUGGCCAUUAAAAAGACAAAAAUAAAAAAGCAAAGCCCUCAAAGUGCAGGUUAGAAUGCUUGUCUUGGAGAAAAUUAGAAAACAUUCGCUAUAACAGCUCUUAACAGCACCUGCACAGAUAAGAUGGCAAGGCCCUUGGGAACAGGACGUGCAGUCAAAACGUUACAUUAACAUGAGAGACGUGCUGAGCUUAACUAGGUUAACUACUGGACUGGAACUUCAAAAGUCAGCAAAGGGAAUGAUUCUAAAAAGAAAACUGAAGAAACCCCCACCAAAUCUGGCCUCUUCCAGCUAGCACAGCCUUCAUCCAUUGUGUGCAUGGCAAAAAAAGCAUCUUUGCAUUUCAUUGGGUCAAGUGCUUCAUCAAAACAGAGAUCUUUUCAUGGCAUAAAUUCAUAUAAAAGACAUCUAAGGUUUCAUAUGGACAAGCUCUAAAAA
Molecule: long non-coding RNA, 2986 nt
Organism: Corvus hawaiiensis (hawaiian crow)
Lineage: Eukaryota; Metazoa; Chordata; Aves; Passeriformes; Corvidae
Exons: 2
Source: RefSeq, a predicted model, not a curated record